CUCAUUUCCAGAUAAUCAGACCAAGCUUCUGAAGAAGUAAUGUUUUCAGUAAUAUAGUACAAUUGGUCUCCAGAGGUGAAGUAGAUCUUGUUUUCCAUGUUUUUGAACAAGCACAGCACGCGAUUAGAGAAAAACACAGAACCUGAUGUUGCUGUAGUGCGGGAAUCUCGGAGGAAGAGUCUGAGGGCCUUACCUGAAAAUCGUGUUAAGGAGCACUUGCAUAUUUCUAGUGAUAUCGUCAAUUAGG
Molecule: unclassified non-coding RNA, 247 nt
Filed under: Hevea brasiliensis (rubber tree)
Lineage: Eukaryota; Viridiplantae; Streptophyta; Magnoliopsida; Malpighiales; Euphorbiaceae
Source: RNAcentral